RNAcentral lists this ribosomal RNA (465 nucleotides) under uncultured bacterium. Its description in RNAcentral is "partial 16S ribosomal RNA". It matches the Rfam family "Bacterial small subunit ribosomal RNA", at positions 28 to 507 of the family's 1533-position model. The record is from RNAcentral.
GACGAACGCUGGCGGCGUGCUUAACACAUGCAAGUCGAACGGAAAGGCCCCUUUGGGGGUACUCGAGUGGCGAACGGGUGAGUAACACGUGAGUAACCUGCCCUUGACUUCGGGAUAACUUCAGGAAACUGGGGCUAAUACCGGAUAGGAAUCCUUGCUGCAUGGUGGGGGUUGGAAAGCUUCGGCGGUGUUGGAUGGACUCGCGGCUUAUCAGCUUGUUGGUGGGGUAGUGGCUUACCAAGGCUUUGACGGGUAGCCGGCCUGAGAGGGCGACCGGCCACAUUGGGACUGAGAGACGGCCCAGACUCCUACGGGAGGCAGCAGUGGGGAAUAUUGCACAAUGGGCGGAAGCCUGAUGCAGCAACGCCGCGUGCGGGAUGACGGCCUUCGGGUUGUAAACCGCUUUCAGCAGGGGCGAAGCUUGUGGUGACGGUACCUGCAGAAGAAGCACCGGCUAACUACGUG